UGGGGAAUUUUGGACAAUGGGCGCAAGCCUGAUCCAGCCAUGCCGCGUGGGUGAAGAAGGCCUUCGGGUUGUAAAGCCCUUUCGGCCGGGAAGAAAACGUGCGGGCGAACAGUCUGCAUGGAUGACGGUACCGGAAGAAGAAGCACCGGCUAACUACGUGCCAGCAGCCGCGGUAAUACGUCGGGUGCGAGCGUUAAUCGGAAUUAUUGGGCGUAAAGCGUGCGCAGGCGGCGCCAUAAGACAGCUGUGAAAUCCCCGGGCUUAACCUGGGAACUGCGGUUGGGACUGUGGUGCUAGAGUACGGCAGAGGGAGGUGGAAUUCCUGGUGUAGCAGUGAAAUGCGUAGAGAUCAGGAGGAACACCGAUGGCGAAGGCAGCCUCCUGGGCUGAUACUGACGCUCAUGCACGAAAGCGUGGGGAGCAAACA
This 427-nucleotide ribosomal RNA is filed under the name uncultured bacterium. RNAcentral's name for it is "bacterial SSU rRNA". It matches the Rfam family "Bacterial small subunit ribosomal RNA", at positions 355 to 774 of the family's 1533-position model. The record is from RNAcentral.